This 404-nucleotide ribosomal RNA is filed under the name Actinomycetes bacterium. RNAcentral describes it as "Actinobacteria bacterium partial 16S ribosomal RNA". It matches the Rfam family "Bacterial small subunit ribosomal RNA", at positions 355 to 776 of the family's 1533-position model. Lineage: Bacteria; Bacillati; Actinomycetota; Actinomycetes. The record is from RNAcentral.
UGGGGAAUAUUGGACAAUGGGCGCAAGCCUGAUCCAGCCAUGCCGCGUGAGUGAUGAAGGCCCUAGGGUUGUAAAGCUCUUUCACCGGUGAAGAUAAUGACGGUAACCGGAGAAGAAGCCCCGGCUAACUUCGUGCCAGCAGCCGCGGUAAUACGAAGGGGGCUAGCGUUGUUCGGAUUUACUGGGCGUAAAGCGCACGUAGGCGGACUUUUAAGUCAGGGGUGAAAUCCCGGGGCUCAACCCCGGAACUGCCUUUGAUACUGGAAGUCUUGAGUAUGGUAGAGGUGAGUGGAAUUCCGAGUUUAGAGGUGAAAUUCGUAGAUAUUCGGAGGAACACCAGUGGCGAAGGCGGCUCACUGGACCAUUACUGACGCUGAGGUGCGAAAGCGUGGGGAGCAAACAGG